CGCCGCGGUUUCACUCCUCACUCCCCAUCCCUCUCCAGCAGCAGCUCGCGUCCACCGCCACCGCCCACCAUGAGCCGCGAUCAAUUCCUCCUCCGCCUCCUCGACCUCCACGCCGGCGACGACCCCUUCUUCCCCUUCCCCACCUCCUCCUCCUUCUCCUCCUGCCCAUUCUCCACCUCCUCCUCCGCCCACCACCGCUUCCUCCUCGACGACCACCCCUCCUGCCCCCUCGGCUUCACCUCCCCAUCCCCGAUCGACACCUUCCACCUCGACCUCGACCUCGACCUCGACCUCCUCCUCCCUCCCCGCGCCGCCGCGCCCCCGUGCCCCGCCUUCUUCGACCCCUUCCUCCUCGACGCGCUCGGCCACCGCGUCUCCGCGCUCGAGCGCGCGCUCGCCCCACCACCCCCGGCGCCCCGCCGCAAG
RNAcentral lists this long non-coding RNA (426 nucleotides) under Setaria italica (foxtail millet). RNAcentral's name for it is "long non-coding RNA (SITA_LNC000012)". Lineage: Eukaryota; Viridiplantae; Streptophyta; Magnoliopsida; Poales; Poaceae. The record is from RNAcentral.